CAGAGGUCCCAAGCGUUGUUCGGAUUUACUGGGCGUAAAGGGUGCGUAGGCGGUUGGGUAAGUCUGACGUGAAAUCUCCGGGCCUAACCCGGAAACUGCGUUGGAUACUAUCCAGCUAGAGGAAUGGAGGGGAGACUGGAAUACUUGGUGUAGCAGUGAAAUGCGUAGAUAUCAAGUGGAACACCAGUGGCGAAGGCGAGUCUCUGGACAUUUCCUGACGCUGAGGCACGAAAGCCAGGGGAGCAAACGGGAUUAGAUACCCCGGUAGUCCUGGCCCUAAACGGUGCGCGUUUGCUGUAAGUGGAAUCGACCCCGCUUGUGGCGAAGUUAACACGUUAAACGCGCCGCCUGGGAAGUACGGCCGCAAGGUUA
This 372-nucleotide ribosomal RNA is filed under the name uncultured organism. RNAcentral describes it as "bacterial SSU rRNA". It matches the Rfam family "Bacterial small subunit ribosomal RNA", at positions 526 to 896 of the family's 1533-position model. The record is from RNAcentral.